This 1062-nucleotide ribosomal RNA is filed under the name Aurantiochytrium limacinum. RNAcentral's name for it is "partial Bacterial small subunit ribosomal RNA". It matches the Rfam family "Bacterial small subunit ribosomal RNA", at positions 342 to 1392 of the family's 1533-position model. The record is from RNAcentral. Lineage: Eukaryota; Bigyra; Thraustochytrida; Thraustochytriidae.
CGGGAGGCAGCAGUGGGGAAUAUUGGACAAUGGGGGCAACCCUGAUCCAGCCAUGCCGCGUGUGUGAAGAAGGCCUUUUGGUUGUAAAGCACUUUAAGCAGGGAGGAGAGGCUAAUGGUUAAUACCCAUUAGAUUAGACGUUACCUGCAGAAUAAGCACCGGCUAACUCUGUGCCAGCAGCCGCGGUAAUACAGAGGGUGCGAGCGUUAAUCGGAAUUACUGGGCGUAAAGCGAGUGUAGGUGGCUCAUUAAGUCACAUGUGAAAUCCCCGGGCUUAACCUGGGAACUGCAUGUGAUACUGGUGGUGCUAGAAUAUGUGAGAGGGAAGUAGAAUUCCAGGUGUAGCGGUGAAAUGCGUAGAGAUCUGGAGGAAUACCGAUGGCGAAGGCAGCCAUCUGGCCUAAUACUGACGCUGAGGUACGAAAGCAUGGGGAGCAAACAGGAUUAGAUACCCUGGUAGUCCAUGCCGUAAACGUUGGGCACUAGGUGUGGGGGACAUUCCACGUUUUCCGCGCCGUAGCUAACGCAUUAAGUGCCCCGCCUGGGGAGUACGGCCGCAAGGCUAAAACUCAAAGGAAUUGACGGGGGCCCGCACAAGCGGCGGAGCAUGUGGAUUAAUUCGAUGCAACGCGAAGAACCUUACCUGGUCUUGACAUCCACGGAACUUUCCAGAGAUGGAUUGGUGCCUUCGGGAACCGUGAGACAGGUGCUGCAUGGCUGUCGUCAGCUCGUGUCGUGAGAUGUUGGGUUAAGCCCCGCAACGAGCGCAACCCUCGUUCUAUGUUGCCAGCACGUGAUGGUGGGGACUCAUAGGAGACUGCCGGGGUCAACUCGGAGGAAGGUGGGGAUGACGUCAAAUCAUCAUGCCCCUUAUGUCUUGGGCUUCACGCAUGCUACAAUGGCCGGUACAAAGGGCUGCAAUACCGCAAGGUGGAGCGAAUCCCAAAAAGCCGGUCUCAGUUCGGAUUGGGGUCUGCAACUCGACCCCAUGAAGUCGGAGUCGCUAGUAAUCGCAGAUCAGCAACGCUGCGGUGAAUACGUUCCCGGGCCUUGUACACACCG